This 241-nucleotide long non-coding RNA is filed under the name Lathyrus oleraceus (garden pea). RNAcentral describes it as "Pisum sativum (pea) long non-coding RNA (PSAT_LNC038856)". The record is from RNAcentral. Lineage: Eukaryota; Viridiplantae; Streptophyta; Magnoliopsida; Fabales; Fabaceae.
CAAAAAGCCAAACACUAAGUAUCAGCAUGAGAGUUCAGCCAGGUAUGACUUUAUCACUCUGAUUUUGCGUAUGUCCUGUUGACACGUCACAGCAUGACAACACACACUGAGGCAAGUUGUUUGUUUAGCCAGGGCCUUUCUAGCCAUCCUUAUAUGUAUGUUUCCCUUCGUAAACCCCGUUGAGCCUUAGCCAUUUUAUUCAUCGUAAACCCCAUGUUAACUUUUAAGCAUUAUUCAUCAU